GAUCCGCCGUUGCAGUCAUGCCACAAAUAAUGCCAUCAAUAGAUGUGCCAAUAGACUGUGACACAUUAACUACAGUAGAAGCUGGUACUGGUUAUGACAACGACGGUGAAAGCUGGAGACCAAAGAGGGCAAGAGUGUCCAGUAUAGAGGCCACACUUGAAUCUGUAAUUCAGCCGGGAACAAGCCAGGACUGGACUGAUGAAGCUGGGUUAACGGAAACCAGUGUUGAGGUCACCACUAAAAGUGAACCCUCUCAGCUAUCAGCUACACCAUCAGCGAUCAGAAAAAAUAAAACUUCAUUUGAGGAUAUUAAAAAAAAAUUGCUGUGGCAAGAGUUAGACAACAACAAAAAAAAAUUUGAGAUAGAAGUGGAACACAUGAAACUAAAAAAUCAGUUAGAAAUCGAAUUUCUUCGACAUAAAUAUAAAUUAGAACUAGAAAUUUUACAGUUUAAAAAAGAAUCUGAAAAUAAAUGAUUAAAAUGA
This is a long non-coding RNA of Pieris napi, 485 nucleotides long. RefSeq lists it as uncharacterized. The transcript is spliced from 2 exons. NCBI's taxonomy places the organism in Eukaryota, Metazoa, Arthropoda, Insecta, Lepidoptera, Pieridae. The record is from RefSeq and is a predicted model, not a curated record.